CAGCAGCCGCGGUAAUACAGAGGGUGCGAGCGUUAAUCGGAUUUACUGGGCGUAAAGCGUGCGUAGGCGGCUAAUUGAGUCGGAUGUGAAAUCCCCGAGCUUAACUUGGGAAUUGCAUUCGAUACUGGUUAGCUAGAGUGUGGGAGAGGAUGGUAGAAUUCCAGGUGUAGCGGUGAAAUGCGUAGAGAUCUGGAGGAAUACCGAUGGCGAAGGCAGCCAUCUGGCCUAAUACUGACGCUGAGGUACGAAAGCAUGGGGAGCAAACAGGAUUAGAUACCCGAGUAGUCCCUGUCUCUUAUAA
This 301-nucleotide ribosomal RNA is filed under the name uncultured bacterium. Its description in RNAcentral is "partial 16S ribosomal RNA". It matches the Rfam family "Bacterial small subunit ribosomal RNA", at positions 509 to 809 of the family's 1533-position model. The record is from RNAcentral.